GUGGUGUUUGGAUUGUCUCUGCCGGCUGGCUCCGUGCUCGUCCACCGAACGGCUGGCGGGCAAUCCGUGUUGGUUGUUGUGGGAUGAGAUGGUGCCUCAGAGGCUGGUUCUUGUGCUGCCUACCCCUUCAAGGGAAGCAGGCCACUUGCCUUUAGCCUCCGUCCGGCGCCUUCUAACGGGCGCGGGAGGACAGCGUAGCACCCCCCGUGUUCCACCGAGCCUUCAUCGGUCGCGUGGCCCGCGGGGAAGUGCGAUGCUCUUGGACCCAGCGCACGCCGCGGACGGGGACUCGCGCCCCGGUCCUAAGAGGAGCUUCGAUAUAACGUAUGACGGCCGCUCCCGCCCCUUGACCGCCCCGGCGGUGCAGAGGGCGGGCGCGCGACGUCGCGGAGGACUGCUACCUGGUUGAUCCUGCCAGAAGUCAUAUGCUUGUCUC
RNAcentral lists this unclassified non-coding RNA (436 nucleotides) under Enterolobium monjollo. Its description in RNAcentral is "partial external transcribed spacer region". The record is from RNAcentral. Lineage: Eukaryota; Viridiplantae; Streptophyta; Magnoliopsida; Fabales; Fabaceae.